AGAGUUUGAUCAUGGCUCAGGAUGAACGCUAGCUACAGGCUUAACACAUGCAAGUCGAGGGGCAGCAUUUUAGUUUGCUUGCAAACUAAAGAUGGCGACCGGCGCACGGGUGAGUAACGCGUAUGCAACUUACCUAUCAGAGGGGGAUAACCCGGCGAAAGUCGGACUAAUACCGCAUGAAGCAGGGGCCCCGCAUGGGGAUAUUUGCUAAAGAUUCAUCGCUGAUAGAUAGGCAUGCGUUCCAUUAGGCAGUUGGCGGGGUAACGGCCCACCAAACCGACGAUGGAUAGGGGUUCUGAGAGGAAGGUCCCCCACAUUGGUACUGAGACACGGACCAAACUCCUACGGGAGGCAGCA
This 357-nucleotide ribosomal RNA is filed under the name uncultured bacterium. RNAcentral describes it as "bacterial SSU rRNA". It matches the Rfam family "Bacterial small subunit ribosomal RNA", at positions 8 to 353 of the family's 1533-position model. The record is from RNAcentral.